CCUACGGGAGGCAGCAGUGGGGAAUUUUGGACAAUGGGCGCAAGCCUGAUCCAGCAAUGCCGCGUGCAGGAUGAAGGCCCUCGGGUUGUAAACUGCUUUUGUACGGAGCGAAACGGUCUCUUCUAAUACAGGGGGCUAAUGACGGUACCGUAAGAAUAAGCACCGGCUAACUACGUGCCAGCAGCCGCGGUAAUACGUAGGGUGCAAGCGUUAAUCGGAAUUACUGGGCGUAAAGCGUGCGCAGGCGGUUUUGUAAGACAGAUGUGAAAUCCCCGGGCUCAACCUGGGACCUGCAUUUGUGACUGCAAGGCUGGAGUACGGUAGAGGGGGAUGGAAUUCCGCGUGUAGCAGUGGAAUGCGUAGAUAUGCGGAGGAACACCGAUGGCGAAGGCAAUCCCCUGGACCUGUACUGACGCUCAUGCACGAAAGCGUGGGGAGCAAACAGGAUUAGAUACCCUGGUAGUCCACGCCCUAAACGAUGUCAACUGGUUGUUGGGUCUUUACUGACUCAGUAACGAAGCUAACGCGUGAAGUUGACCGCCUGGGGAGUACGGCCGCAAGGUUGAAACUCAAAUGAAUUGACGGCNGAGAGNGCGAGACGACGACGAGGGAGGAGG
Molecule: ribosomal RNA, 617 nt
Filed under: uncultured bacterium
Lineage: Bacteria
Description: bacterial SSU rRNA
Rfam family: Bacterial small subunit ribosomal RNA
Source: RNAcentral